This is a long non-coding RNA of Hibiscus syriacus, 203 nucleotides long. RefSeq lists it as uncharacterized. The transcript has 2 exons. The record is from RefSeq and is a predicted model, not a curated record. Lineage: Eukaryota; Viridiplantae; Streptophyta; Magnoliopsida; Malvales; Malvaceae.
AUCCACCGUAUUCAAGUUUCCUGUAUUUUUCUUUACAAGAGUGAAGUUCAAAACAAAAAAUAAUAAAUAUGCUAUUUUCCAUUUUCCAAUCUUGUCGUAAGCUCAGCUGUGUUCCUUUCCUUUCAUGGCUUCCUUUCGCAGGCUUCUUCCCCUUUGCUCUUCUCUCAAAAGAACGAGAUUUUCUUCUUCUGGAGUUCAUAUAG